CGUACUGUUUGUCGUCCUGCUGAUGUGUAUAGUUACUUUCUGGCUGAGGAAGAGAAAGCAAGAAGCGGUACCAGCUAACCCUGCCGCUGCCUCCAACAGAGGGGAGUCAAGCACAGAGGAAGGCAGAGCAAAACCAGGGAGUGACAGAGAAAAGGAUGAGCUCACCCUAGAAAAUGAAAAUCUGAACAACAGCUCCAGUCGCCUUCCGGUGAACUUUGCAACAGAGCUUUCCCAGUUAUUUAAUGCCACAAAUUCAGAAAGUUCAUUUCAGCCUACAUGCCAGAACACCUCAGAUGGUGAUUAUGACUCUUCCUCAGAUAUCUGCAUUCCCCGGGAUUUACCCCAAGCCGAUCAUUCCAAGUGCGUGUGCUUUCAUUACCAACAGGGAUAUUGUACUUCAGAUGCAUAUUCCGAAUAGAAUAAUAAAAAUGGUGGGCUAGAA
Long non-coding RNA from Dromaius novaehollandiae (emu), 442 nucleotides. RefSeq lists it as uncharacterized. Lineage: Eukaryota; Metazoa; Chordata; Aves; Casuariiformes; Dromaiidae. The transcript has 2 exons. The record is from RefSeq and is a predicted model, not a curated record.